Molecule: long non-coding RNA, 2992 nt
Organism: Lotus japonicus
Lineage: Eukaryota; Viridiplantae; Streptophyta; Magnoliopsida; Fabales; Fabaceae
Exons: 9
Source: RefSeq, a predicted model, not a curated record
UAAGUGACUAAUAAUACACUUAUUUUCUCACUAGUAUCUACAUACACUUAAUGGGCUGUUAGAACAGCACUAUUCAUAAGAGAAAUUGCAUCUUGGCCAUUCAUUCUCUUUGAUCCUACGGUUCAUGUUUUUUCUUGAUCAGUUUUUGUUUUGCAAUUUUGUUUUCGUUGGAUUCUCUCUUUUUGUUCUCCAGCUGUUGUUGUCUGCCCAUUACUUGUACUUGUGUGUAUUUUUUUUAUCUGUUCCAGCUGUUGUCGGCCCAGCUCCACUAUUCACCCAUCAUCUAGGUUUUUCCUUGUGCUUCUGAACGGUUCAAUCAUGCUGAACGAGUACAGUGUAUUACAGUCGUUUUCCUCUUCAAUUUUCGUACUUCUGAGUAUCUCACCUUCUGCGUUGGAGAAGGUUUGGUGGAAGGUGAAGACUGGGGUUUCGGUUUGAUUUCUCUUUCAUUCCGUCAUGUCGCUUCCAACACAGCUCAGCCAUUCUCAACCAUCUCUGUCAUCUCGCAUCAUCAACACAACCCAAAGAACUGUUCAUGUGGUGGUUAGGUUUUUAUUUCCUUCUGCACGCCACCUUCAUCUCCCUGGCACCGCCGAUCAACCAUGGUGACGGAGAAUAGCAUCAUCUUCUCUGAUUUUUCGUCAGUGUUUAGGUGAGUUUCAGAAAGAGAUGGGAAAAUUGCAUCAGAUGAAGGUGGAAGGAUGCACUGUUUCGUGUUAGGUGAGGGUCAGAAUGAGAAGCCAAGGUCAUGGCAGAUCUCUUCCCUGGAUACAGUUCAUCGUUGUACGUUGAGCAUUGUAUUGGACGAAAUGGUGGAGCCAAUUGUGUAACAACAGGUAAUGUGGUUAUUCAAAAUGUCCUGAAUACCACAAAGGUCUUAUGGAAUGCUGACAUCCAGGAGGUAGCUUCCUUUCAUAACACCAUGGUUAUAGGCUGUGGCUGAAGCAAGUCUGGUGCUAGAUCGAAUCUGUCAUAGAGGCAAAUAAGCAUCAGGCUUGAGCUACUGCCUCCACUGUGUGCCUUUCGUUUUAAAAGCAUACUGCCCUUGCCUGCUUGUGCUCCUUGCUGCUGCCUCCACUGUGUGUUCCUCGCUGCUAUUUUGUGUUGGUGCCUUUGCUGUCCUGUUUUCUGAGAAUGAUACAAGAAGGCAUUAAAUGAUCAUGGACAGAGAGAGUGGGAAGAAGUGCUACAUGCUUGCUGCUAGAGCUCUGCCCAUUGCUUGGACAACAGGCUGUUAUGUUAAGUAACAACAUGCUUGCUUCCAGGGUCACCAUUUCAAUUGGCUUCCAGCUUUGUCUGUCUCCGUGAAGAACCUAUUAUGGUUAAGCUAAGAACACAUUUAGGGGGUUACACUCAAUUCCAUUGCCCUGUAUAUGUUUGAGCUUUGUUUGCUCUAUUUUGAAUCUCCUUUUUGUGUACUGCUUUAACUUUUAACCUUAAUAUGUAACAAGACUAUUGGUUUCAUUUAUGGUAAUCUUAUGAAUUUCACCCACUUAAUGUGUACAAGGAUCUUCUAGGUCUUGGUCUCUAUUAGUGUUCAAUCAGAUCUUUUUGGAUGUUGUAGUUACGAUUUUAACUUUUCAUCAUAUACAUUCCUAAUGGUUCAUGUGUACAAGGAUCUUCUAGGUCUUGGUCUCUAUUAGUGUUCAAUCAGAUCUUUUUGGAUGUUGUAGUUACGAUUUUAACUUUUCAUCAUAUACAUUCCUAAUGGUUCAAUAUAUAUAUAUAUAUAUAUAUUAUAUCCUAAAUUGGAGAUCAGAAAUGGUACUUAACAAUUAAAUGGUAUAAACUCAAAGGGGCGUUAACCUUUGUGCCAGUGCAUUUCAAUCCCGAACAAGGAUAUUCAUGAUCUUUUGAUAGAUGGUCUUAAAUCAGUUUCUUAUAUGUGUAUGCUUUAGCAGCAAGCUAUUAUACCGAUUAUUUUAUUAACUAUCCAUUUUAUUUUAAAAAUUAGCAUAUAUCAAUCACGAAGCAUAUAUGCAUGCAUUUAUACAAGCUAUAUGCAGUGUUCCGGGCCAACCCAUGGUUAAUGUCUUCAUUGCACUGUUGUUUCAUUCAUGAGUGUGUUUGUUUUCUUUAUUUGAUUUCUUUUAUUUUGAAGUGAUAUCUAAGUGUGAUUUUUUUUUUCAUUCAUGCAGUGUUGUUUUGGAGUGAUUAGCAGAACUGCACCUUGCAUCUGAUCCUGGUAUGUUAUAGAGGCUUGGACAAUAACUUGCUAAUAUCAUUUCCUACUUCCUGAAGAGAAUAGAGGCCAGGCCCCCCUCCAUCCAUACAACAUGGACAAGUUGUGCCUCUGCGGAAAAAUAGAGGCUAGACCUGGUCGUGAAGUAUGAGGUCCUUGGAGAUUGGCUCUAUUAGCACAGAUACUGUGGUAUGCAUCUUGAAAUUGAAUGAAAGAAAACAACCAGACUAUCUUAUUCCUUUCUCUGAUACACCUUCUUGAUAGGUGGCCUAAAUCUGAUUCCAUCAAGAAGAUGCACCAUUCAUAUUCAAAUCAAUGAAUAAAAUUUGAAGCUAAUAAGAUGUACCACUCUUCUGAGUUGAAGUUUCUUCCCCUCUUUUUCUCUGUUAAGUCAAUGUGAUGAAGCUGGUUGUUGUGCGCUAGGAGUUACACCCUAAAUCGGAAAGCCAGCUAUUAAUUUUGCUUUCCAGCCUGUUUGAGCUACUCCCUAUCUCAGAAAUCCAACUGCUCAAAGUGCGUUCUAGGAUGAAUGACUGAAGGGUUGAUUUUGCUGAUGAAAGAACUCCACCAUAAUUGACUCUGACAGACAUCAGAGAGUUUCAAGAGGCUUGUGGCUGAAUUGAAGAAGACCCCUCUGGAAAUCUUGGAUGCUAUGAAGAACCAAAUAUUGUAAAAUUGUUAUUAUAUAAUAAUUAUAGUAAAAUUGUAAAAACUCAAUCUGUACAUGUGUUCCAUAUACACUAAGGUUAAUAAUUAGUUUAUUAUCACCUAUUUAUGGACAAAGUUAAUAAAUUUGUUCAUUUUAGAUAA